RNAcentral lists this long non-coding RNA (752 nucleotides) under Mus musculus (house mouse). RNAcentral's name for it is "long non-coding RNA chr2:39065614-39066366". Lineage: Eukaryota; Metazoa; Chordata; Mammalia; Rodentia; Muridae. The record is from RNAcentral.
UCAGCGGCGCGCAAGCGGGGGUGCUUGUGCCGUUGGGCUGAAACGGCUACCGGGCGCGGGCACCUCUACCUGUGUUGGCCGGCCACUGACACGUCAGCGAGAGGCACCGCAAUCUGGCCGCCCUGGAUCGGCACCUUCCCUUCUGAAGAGGGAGGAGCCCCGUGGCGUGCGGUACCCCAGGGCCAGCUUUGGGGCUACAGGAAAGUCUAUGCUCAAAAAAACGACACCGGGCACCUCUCAAUCCGAGUUGCUGUCGAUCAUGUUUCAUACAACUGAAAGAAGUUUCUAGAACCUUUUAUCCUAGUUCUGCCCAAGUAAGAUUUUCGUAUUUCUCAAGUUUCAAGCUACGCAUUGUACAUUAUAGCAACUUCAGUCCUGCCCUAGAAGCAACCCCAGCCUGUUUUGUUGAUUCCAUCUAUUCCAGUUUCCUCUUGUCCCAGUUGUAGCAACCAGUUAGGGAGAAAACAAAUACUUUAUAAACAGUAAUCUCAAUCUACAAAAUAGUUAUACGCGUUAAUCUGUAACUCAAGACAGCUAAAGCGCCUAAGAUUUACCCCAAACAAGGAAACAACUGUCAAUACUAAAGAAAUACACAAAACUUUAAGCAAAUAAUGUUUAUUUUUAUAUUGAUGAUACACUUAAUAUAUACGUGAUUCAAGAUACAAAAUUCAUUUACAAGAGUUCACACUAGAUGAAUGUAUACACAUUCCUAGAGAAUAUUUAUCAAUGCAAAAUUCUUUAUUACACUGACC